CGGCGGACGGGUGAGUAACGCGUGGGUAACCUGCCUCAUACAGGGGGAUAACAGUUGGAAACGACUGCUAAUACCGCAUAAGCGCACAGUACCGCAUGGUACAGUGUGAAAAACUCAGGUGGUAUGAGAUGGACCCGCGUCUGAUUAGCUAGUUGGUGGGGUAACGGCCUACCAAGGCGACGAUCAGUAGCCGACCUGAGAGGGUGACCGGCCACAUUGGGACUGAGACACGGCCCAA
Molecule: ribosomal RNA, 238 nt
Filed under: uncultured bacterium
Lineage: Bacteria
Description: partial 16S ribosomal RNA
Rfam family: Bacterial small subunit ribosomal RNA
Source: RNAcentral